Molecule: ribosomal RNA, 301 nt
Filed under: uncultured bacterium
Lineage: Bacteria
Description: partial 16S ribosomal RNA
Rfam family: Bacterial small subunit ribosomal RNA
Source: RNAcentral
CAGCCGCCACGGGAAUACGAAGGGUGCAAGCGUUACUCGGAAUUACUGGGCGUGAAGCGUGCGUAGGUGGUGGUUUAAGUCCGUUGUGAAAGCCCUGGGCUCAACCUGGGAAUUGCAGUGGAUACUGGGUCACUAGAGUGUGGUAGAGGAUAGUGGAAUUUCCGGUGUAGCAGUGAAAUGCGUAGAGAUCAGGAGGAACAUCAGUGGCGAAGGCGGCCAUCUGGGACAACACUGACGCUGAGGCACGAAAGCGUGGGGAGCAAACAGGAUUAGAUACCCCCGUAGUCCCUGUCUCUUAUAC